Molecule: long non-coding RNA, 464 nt
Organism: Gorilla gorilla gorilla (western lowland gorilla)
Lineage: Eukaryota; Metazoa; Chordata; Mammalia; Primates; Hominidae
Exons: 4
Source: RefSeq, a predicted model, not a curated record
UCUAGCUCAGCAUUUGCCAUACUACAUUGAAAUUAUUUCCUUAUGUGCCCAUCACUCCCCGUAGAUUGCAAACUCCUAGAGAAGGGCUCAACAGUGAGUGCUGAGGCUGCACAGAGGAGGAAGGCAGCACAAUGAUGGAAGGCUUCCUAAAGAGAUAACACUAACAAAGUUGCCCUUAGAAUUGGAGUGCCUGGGUUAGAACCCUGCUGGUACCACCUGCUUACUGCAUGCUGCUGAUGUGAGUUCAGGAGAAAACACUGGCAAGGACAGCAAAGAACAGGAGAACACUCUAGCUUCCCUGAUAGCAUUCAAGGUGCUGUCCAAACUGACUGUGAUGGCACCCUCCAGACAGACAGCGAUGCCACAUAUUCAAGAUGGCAGAAUCACUAUCAGCUUCAAUUCCUGAAUGACUGCAGAGCAAAAUUUCUUACCUGCAACAUACACUCUAUUUUCAGCCUCCCUGG